GACGUAGGGGGCGAGCGUUGUCCGGAUUUAUUGGGCGUAAAGCGUGCGUAGGCGGCUGCGCAAGUCGGUUGUGAAACCCCGGGGCUCAACCCCGGAGCUGCAUCCGAUACUGCGUGGCUAGAGGUAGGUAGGGGAGAUCGGAAUUCCUGGUGUAGCGGUGAAAUGCGCAGAUAUCAGGAGGAACACCGGUGGCGAAGGCGGGUCUCUGGGCCGAUACUGACGCUGAGGAGCGAAAGCGUGGGGAGCAAACAGG
Molecule: ribosomal RNA, 253 nt
Filed under: uncultured bacterium
Lineage: Bacteria
Description: partial 16S ribosomal RNA
Rfam family: Bacterial small subunit ribosomal RNA
Source: RNAcentral